AGUGCUGGCUUGGAGCCGGGAGGAUGCGAUGGCCGCUGGCAGGGGAACUGUGGCGGUGAAUGUCAGCCAUGGAGACAGCCCUGCUGCCCACCCGCCGGCCGUGCGCCCCUCGCUAACCCGGGCACAGAGCGGGGGACCAGCAGCCACAGGGAACCGGGGGGCAGCAGGCUGCUGGCUCGGGAUCUUCUGCAUCCAUCCGCCCGCCCGGGCACCGGCACCGCUCCGGCUCUGCUUUCCCGUGCGGAGGAUUCGGCGCUGGAUGUAAGGGGACAGUUGCCGCACGGUUGAGCGCCGACCGAUUGCUGCGCGCAGGCUUCCUGGAGGUCACUGCCGUGUAAUAAGAUUUUGGAGCCGUGCUCCGAGCUGUCUCCCAGUUCCUCUCGGCUGCCUGGGUACCACCAUGCUUCCUCGCUGGGCAAAGCAUCCCUUUGGCGCUUCCCCCAGAGCGGUGCCGAGGCUGCCGGAGCAGCAGAGACCUGCCGAGCCCGGGGACUACAGGCUCUCUCCGUUGCUCAUGGAUCCCGAGAGGACAAGCACCCACAUGAUCUCGGCAGAUGAUGCCGAGUACCCACGGGAGUACCGGACCUUGGGCAACGGCACCCGGCGCUUCUCCAACGUAGGGCUGGUGCACACCUCGGAGCGCCGGCACACUGUCAUCGCUGCCCAGAGCCUGGAAGCCCUCACUGGCCUCCAGAAGUCGGAGAUGGAGCGCAAACGGGAUGCCUUCAUGGACCAUCUAAAGAACAAGUACCCACAGCAUGCGCUGGCGCUCCGCGGGCAGCAGGAGCGCAUGCGGGACCAGCAACCCAACUACUGGAGCUUUAAGACGAGGAGCUCCCGACACUCCCAGGGCUCCCAGCCUGGCUUGGCCGAUCAAGCCAAACUCUCCUUCGCCUCGGCCGAAUCCCUGGAAACCAUGUCGGAAGCGGAGCUGCCCCUGGGGUUCAACAGGAUGAACCGAUUCCGGCAGAGCUUGCCCUUGUCCCGCUCCACCAGCCAGACGAAGCUGCGGUCGCCAGGGGUCCUUUUCCUGCAGUUUGGGGAUGAGACGAGGCGCGUCCACAUCACCCACGAGAUCAGCAGCAUGGACACCCUGCACGCCCUCAUUGUCCACAUGUUCCCCCAGAAGCUCACCAUGGGGAUGCUGAAGUCCCCCAACACUGCCAUCCUCAUCAAGGACGAGUCGCGCAAUGUCUUCUAUGAGCUGGAGGAUGUCCGCGACAUCCAGGACAGAAGCAUCAUUAAAAUCUACCGGAAAGAGCCGCUCUACGCCUCCUUCCCAGCCUCGCACAUCACCAACGGGGACCUGAGGCGGGAGAUGGUGUACACCUCCAGGGAGUCAUCUCCCACCCGCCGGCUGAACAACAUGUCCCCGGCUUCCCACCUCACCUCCGGCUCCCCUCCGCCGGUGCUCCAGUCCUCCUCCCCGUCCCGCUCCCGCAUGUCCUACAGCGGGGGUCGCCCGCCCUCCUACGCCGGCAGCCCCGUCCACCACAGCGAGCGUCUCUCCAACCUGCCGCCCGCCCAGGGCGUCUCGCCCAGCCCCAGCGCCAUCCUGGAGCGCCGGGACGUGAAGCCGGAUGAGGACCUGGCUGGGAAGAACGUAGUGCUGGUGAAGAACGAGGGGCUGUACGCCGAUCCCUACGGCAUGGUGCAUGAGGGGCGGCUCAGCAUCACCUCCACCCAGUCCCUGGCUGGCAUGGGAGACCCCUUCGGCUACUCGGGGGGGCUGUACAAGCGGGGCUCCGUUCGUUCCCUCAGCACCUACUCGGCGGCCGCCUUGCAGACGGAGCUGGAGGACAGCCUGUACAAGCCCAACGCGCCCAUUUACAGCGAGACGUACGGACCUGGCCUGGGUUUCCGCAUGCCCCCCUCCUCCCCCCAGAAGAUGGCUGAUGGCCGGCUCAUGGACGUGCAGCCGGGGCAGAGCCCGCACAGCCCCUACUCGGGACCCCCCAGCCGCUCCUCACCCGUCCGUCAGUCCUUCCGCAAGGACUCCUGCUCCUCCGUCUUCAUGGACAGCCCCGUCAACAAGCCGCGCAACCCCAGCUCCUCCGGCCCACCGGAGCUCUUCCCCGGCCCCGGCGACCGCCCGCUCUCGGGGUUCGGCUCCCCUGGACCAGCCAAGGACACCGAAACGAGGGAGCGGAUGGAGGCGAUGGAGAAGCAGAUCGCCAGCCUGACGGGGCUGGUGCAGAGCGCGCUGCUCCGUGGCUCCGAGGCUGAGACCCCCAGCGAGAAGACAGAAGCCACCAACGGUGGGACCCCCCCAUCAGCGUCGACCAGCCGCAGUGGCAUGGGGACACCAGUGCCUGCACCCCCACCGCCCUCCGCCACCAGCACGCCGGCGGGGCAGCCCACCGCCAUCACCCGCUUGCACAUGCAGCUGCACCUCCACGACCUGCAGCAGAACACCAGCGACCUCCGCAACCAGCUGCAGCAGCUCAAGAAGCUGCAGCUGCAGAACCAGGAGAUGGUGAAGACGAUGCUGCGGCGGACAGAGACGGAGAUCAGUGUGCGGGUGACGGACACCAUGCGCAAGCACGAGGACCCGCUGCAGCGCCAGCGCAGCUUGGUGGAAGAGGAACGGCUCCGUUACCUCAACGAGGAGGAGCUGAUCACCCAGCAGCUCAAUGACCUGGAGAAGUCGGUGGAGAAGAUCCAGAAGGAUUUGGCCCACAACCACCGGCUCAUCCCUGUGCAGGAGCUGGAGGAGAAGGCGGUGGUGCUCAAGCAGCUGGGGGAGACACUGACAGACCUCAAGGCCCAGUUCCCCAGCCUGCAGAGCAAGAUGCGGGUGGUGCUGCGGGUGGAGGUGGAAGCCGUCAAGUUCCUCAAGGAGGAGCCGAACCGCCUCGAUGGCCUGCUCAAGCGCUGCAAGACGGUGACGGACACCCUCACCCAGAUCCGCAGGCAAGUGGACGAGGGCAUGUGGACCUCCCCCAGCAACCUCAGCCAGUCCCCCAAGAAGGUGGCCCCCGAGACAGACUUCAGUAAAGGGCUGGAUUUGGAGAUGCCCACCAGCCCCCCAGUGAGCCUCCACCACCUGACGGCUGCCACCGAGACCCUGGGCAUGCCCAGCUUUGGGCACAGCCCCCCUCAGACCCAGACCCACCCCUCCAAGAGCAAUAACCCUUCCCGAGCUCCGGAGAUGGUACCCGCCAAGACCCAGACGGGCCCGGAGACCCCCAGCAAGAAGAGUGCGGAUAAAGCUGUAUCUGUGGAGGCUGCCGAGCGGGACUGGGAGGAGAAGCGGGCAGCGCUGACCCAGUACAGUGCCAAGGACAUCAACCGCCUCCUGGAGGAGACGCAAGCCGAGCUGAUGAAGGCCAUCCCGGACCUGGAGUUCGCUGCCAAGCACAAGCAAACCACGGGCAGCGGCAGCACCGCCUCCACGCCUGAGCACAAACCCUCCAAGCCGCAGCAUGCACCGAAGUCGGGGGGCAAGGGGGACCCCAAUGGCCGCAGGGGCUCAGACGAACUGACGGUGCCGCGGUACCGGACCGAGAAACCCUCCAAAUCACCACCGCCUCCCCCUCCGCGCCGCAGCUUCCCCUCGUCCCACGGGCUGACCACAACCCGCAGCGGCGAAGUCAUCGUCACCAGCAAGAAGGAGCCCGGUUUUAUGAAGAAGGCCGAGUCGGAGGAGCUGGAAACCCAGAAGCCCCAGGUGAAGCUGAGAAGGACAGUGUCGGAGGUGGUCAGGCCAGCGUCCACCCCCCCCAUCAUCGCCUCUGCCAUCAAAGACGACGACGACGAGGACCGCAUCAUUGCGGAGCUGGAGGAGCCGCCAGCCCUGGCAGCCCCGGGGAGCAGGGCUUUCUCCCUCCCGCAGAUUGUGCUCACCGAGUGGGUGUCUGAACCGCCGUCCCCCGAAGCUGAACCGGAGGUGUGGGUGGCAACUGGCUGCUCGGAGCACGGGGACCCCCAGAGCGGAGGAGCGGGAGGGGAGCGUGUACCCGAGGUGGGAAGGAAAUGCCCUGUGUCUCCUGGCAUCUCUGAAAAGUCCCCGUCCGCAGCGGGGUACCCUCCAGCCCCAGCCCCACACCCCCUGAACAGCCCAUCUCAGGGCCAUGCCCAUGCAGCAGGAGAGACUCGGAGGUUCCCUCUAGUAGCCAGCAAGGUACCACCUAUCUCAGGGCACAAACCGAGCCAGCCUGUGGCGGGAGGAGGAGGGGACACUGCUCCGAACGCUGCCAGCAGGCGAGAAGGUGGCAGCAAGACAUCUCACCGAGGUCCCUUGGCUGCACAGCCUCCUCGUCCCCGGGGGGAAGCCAGGGGUCCUGGAUCUGGAGAGGCAGCGCUCCCCUCCACCGGUGGCAGAACGCCCAGUGCCGUCCCCCAGCUUCCCAAUGAUGGGGACCCCCAAGGAGGAACCAGGCGGAGCACGCAGGAGGCAUCACUCCCUCCUGGGCAUUCUGCUGGGGCUUGCAGACAAGCCUGGAGGGAGGACAGCUCACCAGUGCCAAAUCCCAGAGCUUUUCCAGGCAGGGAUCCAGCCCCGCAGGGAAGCGGACAGUCCUGGGCUGAGCAUCCCCAGGAGCAGGUUGCUGCUUUCUGGAGGCCAAACCACUGCGCAGCUCCUGCUGCCGGGGGAGGAGGUGGCACGGAGGACGCCGGGGUUGGGGGGAAGGCAGCGGAAGGGCUCUGCAAAGGGCAGGUGUCCCCUCGCCGCUCCAUGGCUCCGUGCAGCAAGGAGAUUUACGAAGGCACGUACCAAAGACUGGACAGCCUGGAAGAAACUAUCCGUGAGCUGGAAAUAACCAUCAGCGAGAUCAGCAGCCAUCCCUUGGUUGAAUUUGUAUUCCCUAAAGAACUGCUAGGACAAGCGGGAUCCAAGGAUGCUGGCAAGGAGACCAAGGAAGGUCUGAGGGAUCUCAGACACAGUCGCUGUGAUGACGGGACUGCCCUGGACCUCAGUCAGGCCAAAGAUGAUGCUCGUGAGAGUCCAUCUCCAAGCAAGACCAAGCCACCUCUGCUACCCAAGCCGCAGCUCUCCCUCGACACUCCGCAGGCAUAGCCAAGGUGGAAAACAAAUCUCCGUUUCUCCCUGUGGCUUGAAGGGGUUUGGGAAGCGCAGGCAAGCAGGAGCGAGACUGCAGGCAGCAGUCGGCAGCGGAAAGGCAGGUUUGGGGGCUGAGCAUGCUGCUGGUGAUGAGUACAGGGCCAGUGAUGAGCAUCCCACGGGGCCGGCGAGGGCUGGGUGUGCUGGGUGACGAAGCAGCGUCCCUCGUUUUGCAUAAGCACUUUUGUAACGAACUGUGGUUUGAGCGUGGCAGCUGUUUCUCCUAAUUAAAUCACAGCGCGGGCUCCCCGAAGCCAUCCAAAUUGGUUUCUGCCGGAAUCUGUGGCAGCCGCUCGGCUGGCUGAAUAGCUGGGAAAAGAGGGGAGAAAACGCCCCCAGCCGCUCCGAUGUCAGCCUGCUCCUUUAUUAACGCUCAGCACUGGGGAAUAAAUCUCCUUUUUCAUUUGCAGCAAUUAUCUCAGCCCCGCUUCUCAGCACCGCCGCGGUGCUCUCGCUGGGUGAAUGGGCCGACAAGUGGGUGUCGCUGCCAUUUCUCCCGUUGCUGGCUCCCGCUGCACCACUGGAGCCUGGCAAGCUAGGAGCAGGAGCUGCGGGAUGGAUUUGUGGCACGUGCACGGGUGCGCAGAAAGCAAAGCUCAGCUCGGGGUUCAGCAGGAGAGGCUGCGCAGCUCGGUCGGUGCUGAAAGCCGAGGCGGGAGAGGGCAGGUCUUGUGCCGCCUUUCAAGGAUGCUGCGAGUUGGUUGCGAAGGCUGGGAUCCAGUGCCUGCUUGUGCCAGGGAUGCUGGGGCGCCGGGGAAGGUGCGGCGCAGGCAGGGGCUGGAUUUCUGUGUGCUGUGGGGUACAGGAGUCCCCACGUCCCAUCCGUGUGCCCACCGAGGGUCACAGGGCAGGGCAGGCAGGACAGGCAGCACGGAGAGCCACAUAGCCAUCGCUACAAUAACCCGUUGGCCUUCUCUCGUCGGAGGUGCAAUCUGGGCAGCAAUUGCACAUCUCUGGGGCAGCGUCGGUGCUGCCGGUUUUUCUGCCUGCGGCAACUGGUCCGGACUUGGUAUGGGGCAGGCAGGAGGCAGCAGUGAUGGCAGGGAGAGGAUCCAGGGUGCCCCGGGCAGCGGGGGGACGCGUGCCGGGCACCGCUUUAGGGACCCACAGUGCCAGGGGAUGUGUGUACAGGUACCGCUUCCCUCGCUGCAGCUCUUGCAAGUCUUUGUAUCUCCAUCUCUACACAGCUAGUUAAUAAAACCCUCUGUAUUCCCACUGCCGCCGUUUCCACCUGGAGUUUGCUUCUGCCUGCCGUCGCCUCUUUUCCUUUCUCUUGGCCGUGCAGCCCUGCCCUGGUGGGGAUGCUCUCCUCCUGCCCUUGGUCUCCUGGUGUUUGCCGUGUCUGCCCCAAACUCCCUCUUUGCCUUGCAGUGGUGGCACUCAGUAAGUCCUGGCUGGUUUCUGAGCUCGCCAAAGCAUUGCCCGGUGACAGCUCCUUUGGCACACAGAGCUGGUGACCUCGUCCUUGCCUGGGUUUGCCACCACGGGCUGGUCCGGGCAGGGAUGGCAUGGUGGUGCCGCAGGGGCUCGGCACAGCUCCAGGCAUCCGAUGCGCUGCCAACGGGGCCGGUGUGGGCUUUCAUCUGCUGGUUUUAACCCCUUCCCCAAAAUUCUCUGUC
This is an RNA transcript of Falco peregrinus (peregrine falcon), 6684 nucleotides long. It is a transcript of the gene named SRC kinase signaling inhibitor 1, with no coding region annotated. Lineage: Eukaryota; Metazoa; Chordata; Aves; Falconiformes; Falconidae. The transcript is spliced from 21 exons. The record is from RefSeq and is a predicted model, not a curated record.